RNAcentral lists this ribosomal RNA (675 nucleotides) under uncultured bacterium. RNAcentral describes it as "bacterial SSU rRNA". It matches the Rfam family "Bacterial small subunit ribosomal RNA", at positions 89 to 800 of the family's 1533-position model. The record is from RNAcentral.
AGGGGAGCGGCAGACGGGUGAGUACGCGUGGGAACAUACCCUUUGGUUCGGAAUAACUCAGGGAAACUUGAGCUAAUACCGGAUACGUCCGUAAGGNNNAAGAUUUAUNNNNNNNGGAUUGGCCCGCGUCCGAUUAGCUAGUUGGUGAGGUAACGGCUCACCAAGGCUACGAUCGGUAGCUGGUCUGAGAGGAUGAUCAGCCACAUUGGGACUGAGACACGGCCCAAACUCCUACGGGAGGCAGCAGUGGGGAAUAUUGGACAAUGGGCGCAAGCCUGAUCCAGCCAUGCCGCGUGAGUGAUGAAGGCCUUAGGGUUGUAAAGCUCUUUUGUCCGGGAAGAUAAUGACUGUACCGGAAGAAUAAGCCCCGGCUAACUUCGUGCCAGCAGCCGCGGUAAUACGAAGGGGGCUAGCGUUGUUCGGAAUCACUGGGCGUAAAGCGCACGUAGGCGGACCGUUAAGUCGGAGGUGAAAGCCUGGGGCUCAACCCCAGAACUGCCUUCGAUACUGGCGGUCUUGAGUAUGGUAGAGGUUGGUGGAACUCCGAGUGUAGAGGUGAAAUUCGUAGAUAUUCGGAAGAACACCAGUGGCGAAGGCGGCCAACUGGACCAUUACUGACGCUGAGGUGCGAAAGCGUGNGGAGCAAACAGGAUUAGAUACCCUGGUAGUCCACGC